GAUGAACGCUAGCGACAGGCUUAACACAUGCAAGUCGAACGAGAUCUUCGGAUCUAGUGGCAGACGGGUGAGGAACACGUGGGAACAUCCCUUUCAGUUCGGAAUAACGUUGGGAAACUAACGCUAAUACCGGAUACGUCCUUCGGGAGAAAGAUUUAUCGCUGAAAGAUUGGCCCGCGUCUGAUUAGCUAGUUGGUGAGGUAAUGGCUCACCAAGGCUACGAUCAGUAGCUGAUCUGAGAGGAUGAUCAGCCACAUUGGGACUGAGACACGGCCCAAACUCCUACGGGAGGCAGCAGUGGGGAAUAUUGGGCAAUGGGCGCAAGCCUGAUCCAGCCAUGCCGCGUGAGUGAUGACGGCCUUCGGGUUGUAAAGCUCUUUUGUCCGGGAAGAUAAUGACUGUACCGGAAGAAUAAGCCCCGGCAAACUUCGUGCCAGCCGCCGCGGUAA
Molecule: ribosomal RNA, 449 nt
Filed under: uncultured bacterium
Lineage: Bacteria
Description: partial 16S ribosomal RNA
Rfam family: Bacterial small subunit ribosomal RNA
Source: RNAcentral